Molecule: ribosomal RNA, 469 nt
Filed under: uncultured bacterium
Lineage: Bacteria
Description: bacterial SSU rRNA
Rfam family: Bacterial small subunit ribosomal RNA
Source: RNAcentral
AGUCGAGCGGUAGAGAGAAGCUUGCUUCUCUUGAGAGCGGCGGACGGGUGAGUAAAGCCUAGGAAUCUGCCUGGUAGUGGGGGAUAACGUUCGGAAACGGACGCUAAUACCGCAUACGUCCUACGGGAGAAAGCAGGGGACCUUCGGGCCUUGCGCUAUCAGAUGAGCCUAGGUCGGAUUAGCUAGUUGGUGAGGUAAUGGCUCACCAAGGCGACGAUCCGUAACUGGUCUGAGAGGAUGAUCAGUCACACUGGAACUGAGACACGGUCCAGACUCCUACGGGAGGCAGCAGUGGGGAAUAUUGGACAAUGGGCGAAAGCCUGAUCCAGCCAUGCCGCGUGUGUGAAGAAGGUCUUCGGAUUGUAAAGCACUUUAAGUUGGGAGGAAGGGCAGUUACCUAAUACGUGAUUGUUUUGACGUUACCGACAGAAUAAGCACCGGCUAACUCUGUGCCAGCAGCCGCGGUAAU